RNAcentral lists this long non-coding RNA (3306 nucleotides) under Mus musculus (house mouse). RNAcentral describes it as "RIKEN cDNA C230057M02 gene". Lineage: Eukaryota; Metazoa; Chordata; Mammalia; Rodentia; Muridae. The record is from RNAcentral.
GAGGAUGGUAGUUGCUGUAGCCCUUCUCUCACAGGAGGAAGAUACCAGGCCCCACCUUGCCUAUCCACCACGAGUCAGGCUCAGAGGUAGCCUGCACAGUGGCACUGGACCUGUAGGCGUGUAUGCACCUAUCCCCACCAGAACCUACGGUCUCAUUGAGACUUCAUCAGUUAAGGUUGUGAACUGGAUCUGGAUUGGGCUGAGCCUCCAGUCUUGCCCUCCCCCGCCCUGCCCCAGGCCAGGCCCAGUGCAUAGGCAGUGUUUUCAUCCAGAGAUUUCAGUAGACUCUCAGUGUUGAGGAUUCCUCUUGCUGGUGGAUGAGGAGGCCCUCCCAAGGCCUGGAGCCCCCUUCCUGGAGCAGAGGAGUCCAGCACACAGAGGGUUAAACGCUGAUGAUGGCUUUGUCUCUGCAUCAGUGUACAUAAUGUGCUGUGCAUUUGCAUACUGCAGUGUGCGCUCAAUUAAAAUGAACUUUUAAUUUCUUCUAAGUAAAUUACUUCUUGCCGGUACGUGAUGUGCACAAAUGUCAGAAUAAUGGGAGAGCCUUAAUGAGCUGGGGAGUAGAUCUUGUGGGGGCUGCCUGAAACAACCCCUGAAACACACGCGUCUUCAUGCCACACCAGCAUGGGGCACACCCUGUCCCUCGGGCAGGCCACACACUAACCUGUGACUGCUGGUUAUAUCCAUUCCACAGUCACUGUGUAACCCUAGCUGGGCCGUGGGUGCCCUCUCACACUGUCUCUCACUCAGCAGUGAUCUUCUCCUUGUGUGCCUCAGAUACUUGCUCACUUACAGAGAGAGGGUUUCCCUGAGGGACGUAUAGAUUCACCCAGCCUCAGUUUCCCCGUCUGCUCCUCAUCUUGGCUGUACGUGAGAAUCAACGGUGCCAGGAGGAGGUCUACAGACUGCGGCCUCUGUGGAAGAAGGUGGCGCCAGUCGCACAAACCUUGCUGAUAAGGUAUGGCUGCUGAAGGACGCAGAAGAGGAAGAGAUAGGGAACCACUUUCAUCGUGGAUGGAUAGAGUGAGGGAAGGGUUUUAGGGGAAGACACACCAAGCACAACCGGCAGGGACCGUACUGGAGCCCAGGCACUGUGCAGAUGCUGAAGUCUGAAAGCUGAGUCUGGGAGGGCAGAGAGACGGCUGAGCUGACAUUGUUCCAGACAAGGAAGGUGACCCUGGCGGAGGCCCGUGUAGGGCAGAAACCUUCAGAGAUACUGCCUAUGACCAGCCCAGGUUGACAGAUGGGGAACCCAGCCACGAUCCUCCCUGGGAAGUAGGGGAGGAAGCAUCUUCCUCAAUCCCAGUGGCUGAAUCUCACAGGACAAUCCUCUCUCCGGUCCCUUCCUUCCUAUUUUUCAUAUCUAUUUUCCCCCGAAGAGGCUUGACAACUGCCACUCCCCUGGAAUUUGGGAUCUGCAUACUCAGGAGGCCAGAACUGACCGGCACCUGUAUGUGGUACCCACACCUAAGAGACUGAUGCUGAGGAAAUGUAUUGCCAUCCUUCCCUGCCUUCCCACCAGCACCCAGAUGCUGGCCCAAGGAAGAGGGUGACCCCAGAGUCAUCAGUGACAAGGGAAUCUCCAGAGAGAAUCCUCUACCCUUGGACUUGGUUUCCAGGAACCCGGAACAGGACCCUGGACUCGACAGAGUGCAGUAAUCUAUGGCGUAGACAAUCUGCUGUUUCUACAACUGAUAUUUUGUCUUGUGACAUUUCUCAAGCUUGCAUUGGAAGCAGGAUGGCCCUGCAAAGGAUAAUAUCUUCGGUGAGGUCGGAGGAGAGACAGCAAGCACAGUCACUCGGAGUUUUGAUGUGAAGUUGACACAGGCUGAGAAAGAAGAGCCAAGAAGCCACGUCGCCUGGAGUAAACCCAGCUCUUAUCUGCCAGACCCAAGGGGGGAAUCUCAGAUUCCCCAGCUCCUGCCCAGCUCCUGCCCAGCUCCUGCCCAGCUCCUGCCCAGCUCCUGCCCAGCUCCUGCCCAGCUCCUGUGGGGCUAAAGUUCACUUAGAGCUGCAGGCCACAAGCCCAGGCCAUCCCAAGCAGGCCUCAUGACAAUGUAUAUGUUUCUGAGAAAUCCUCUUUUGGGGAGAGCAGGACUUAGCCUGCAUAGACUAGGGAUCCCCUGAUAGGCAAGGAAACAGCAGCCAGUCACUUGUAGGUUAGGUCCCAGGAGCGUCCAGUCCCCAUGCUGGCCCUGCUCAAGUUCCAGGAAGGGACUUUCACCCAGAAAUAGCUAAGGACUAUGACAACCUUCCCAACACACUUGUUUAUGAUUUGACUUAAUUAUUUUUCUAUUUAUCUCUAUUUCUGAAUCUCUCCCUUUGGGUUUCCUGAGCUGGAUGCCCUCUCCUUUUUGGGCAGGAUGCAUGGCCACCAUGGCUGCAGAUGCAUCGUAAGGAACCCUCAGAGGUGGUGGGAUUCUGCAACUGGGGGAGCCUGGAGCCUGGGGGUGCUCCACCAGCUCAGCCACACAUGUGGUUGUUCCACCCACUCAGCCCCCACCUUGUUCCAACCGGAGCCUGACGUCUCCCCAACCACAUCUGACCAUGUCACUCCUCCAAGACCUCACCCAGAUCCCUACCACCACCUGGCCCUCUGACAAAAGGGGAUGGGCUGGCAUUGUCCAUCUAGCCUAGGCUACAUUUCUCAGUCUUCUUCCCCCGGGUUUCCAGCCUGGACCAUGUGGGAAAGUCCCAUGGAGCCGGAAGAAGAUGUUCUUCUAUAGUCCCUGCCUCUGUACUGCUGCAUUCCACUUUGGUGACUUUUUGGCUUCUCGGAGUCAGGCUACCAUCCUUAUGAGGUCACGGGCACAACUAUGAAGUACCUCCCACCUGUGCUUCGGGGCCAGCCCUCCCUCAUAGAUGCCUCUCUCAUGCACUGCGACUCCAUCACUGACCACACAGCAGGAUCUGGAUGCCCAGACCUACUGUGCGCAGUGCCUGCCACACACCCAUGACAGUGUUGCAGUUGGGUAUGAAGUGUCCUCGAGAAGGGCCCUGUGUUGUAGGCUUGCCUUCCAACCCAGCAGCAUUCAGAGAUGGAGCCUCUGGGAGGUGACCUGUCACCAAGGCUGAUGCAGAAUCAGGAAGCAGUGGGAAGCAGGAAGUGGGAAGCAGGAAGUUGGAAGCAGGAAGUGGGACGUGGAUGGAGGAAGUAUGGAACUGGAAGCACGGCUUUCCCCCUGCUGGCUCCUCUCGUCUCCCUCUGCCUCUUGCACCCUGAGAAAUAAGCACCUUUUCUCUGCCUCACAGUCCUGGCAGGAUUCUCUGUCAGACUCCUCGUGCCCACAGACCGCAGACCAGAGC